Long non-coding RNA from Neltuma alba, 342 nucleotides. RefSeq lists it as uncharacterized. The record is from RefSeq and is a predicted model, not a curated record. Lineage: Eukaryota; Viridiplantae; Streptophyta; Magnoliopsida; Fabales; Fabaceae. The transcript has 3 exons.
GGGAGAGAGAAACACAGAUUUUUCCGAUGGUUUGAUCACUUGAAAGAUCAACUUUAUGUUGCCUUCACCCUCUGGUUCAAAAGAUUCGGUCGAAUAUCAAAAACAGAUCUCCCUUGAGUGAAAUAGCAGCUAUGCCUACUCUGAUCGUUCCUCUGAUUCAAAUACUGAGUUCUGCCUCAAGGAAUAAGGAGCUUUGCUGCUGUUUUGCAUGGUCAAGGACUCCAAUAGCGUAGCCUACUGAAAGCCCUUUUGUUAUCUUAGAUUUAGUGAAUUGGGAGAAGAGAAUAUUUUGUAAUAAUAGUUAUAUGUGUGUCUGGGUGUCUCAUGUUGUUAAGGAACCUU